UGUUACGAUAGUAAUAAUUUGUAGCGUGUCGUGCUAUUUGAAACAGUUUUUAAGGCAAAAGUGGUCUCUCAAUACAGGUUUCGUCAUGAGGGCUACCCAGUGAAUAAUCUGUGUAGUGUGAUACGGCUGGGUGUACAGGUUACUUCACAGCUGCCUCGACAUACUCAAGAAAUGGGUGCAGAACCUGCGUAAUGCCCACAAACUUUGAUUACCACAGCACCUCCAGAAAGUAUGUGUCACAUGGGAUUUUUAAAUGUAUUCACAAUAUAUAAUACCUUGUAUUAACUGUUGUAGAUCUAAGCCGUCUCUACAGUACACUCUCAGAAAUUAAAACCGUGAGAACCGUGAUAAUUGUUUCAGUUAAUAGGCAUGCACAUAUAUGCUAUAAGAAGAAAAUUAUUUCUUGAGAAUGCACUUCUGUGGCUACUGGUGUUGUUUACAUCUACUGUUGAUCACAUUCAUUUAUCACAUAUUAUAUUCUUAUAUAUAAACACAUAUUUGAUCACAUUAAAUUCAAAAUUCAUCAUAUAUAAGAAAAUACCAGGAGGGAAGUUGCUAUUCAUUGCUCAUUCUAACCUAAAAUUGAGUGCUACAAAUUUAGAGAGAGUACCUGUCCAUUGUCAUUCCUAAAAUAUAUAUUGUCAUUGUAGCAAGGUCAUAAAACAAUAAAUGUAGUCUUUUGUGACCUCCCUGCACGUUCAUUGUGUCCUGAAACGCAUAAGUGCAAGAAAUAACUUGAAUAAACUUGAUGUUGUAUAAACUUGAUAUAAAAUGUUGGAUAAUAUAAUGUAUGAUAUAAAAUGUUGAAUAAACUUGAACUUGUAUAUUCUCUUU
Molecule: long non-coding RNA, 834 nt
Organism: Ornithodoros turicata
Lineage: Eukaryota; Metazoa; Arthropoda; Arachnida; Ixodida; Argasidae
Exons: 2
Source: RefSeq, a predicted model, not a curated record